Sander lucioperca (pikeperch) is the source of this 214-nucleotide long non-coding RNA. RefSeq lists it as uncharacterized. Lineage: Eukaryota; Metazoa; Chordata; Actinopteri; Perciformes; Percidae. The record is from RefSeq and is a predicted model, not a curated record. The transcript is spliced from 3 exons.
CAAAGUAAAAGAUGCCUUAGGAAGCAAUGAACAACUCAUCCUGACAGACCACAAUGGAGUGGAAAUAUUGGACUCAGAAGGAACAAGAAGCACCUUUUAUUGGAAGCAGAACUCACGAAAAAUCAUGGCUGUACCAGAGGUUGAUUUCCAAGCUGUGCAACAAAAGAGGCGAAGAAUCUCACGCAGAGAUGAUGAGGGUGGACUGGACAGUGUG